UUUAUCAAAAACAUCGCCUCUUGCAAAAUCAACNAAUAAGAGGUCACGCCUGCCCAGUGACUUUAAGUUCAACGGCCGCGGUAUUUUGACCGUGCAAAGGUAGCGCAAUCACUUGUCUUUUAAAUGGAGACCUGUAUGAAUGGCAUCACGAGGGCUUGACUGUCUCCUUUCUUCAGCCAAUGAAAUUGAUCUCCCCGUGCAGAAGCGGGGAUUAUCUCAUAAGACGAGAAGACCCUAUGGAGCUUUAGACACUAAGACAGCCUAUGUCAAACAUCCCCAACAAGGGCCUGAACUAAAUAGUCCCUGUCCUAAUGUCUUCGGUUGGGGCGACCCUGGGGAAAUAACCAACCCCCAUGCGGAGUGAAAACAUGUUUUCAAAGCCAAGAGCCACCGCUCUAAGAAACAGAAUUUCUGACCAGCUAGAUCCGGCAAAGCCGAUCAACGGACCGAGUUACCCUAGGGAUAACAGCGCAAUCCCCUUACAGAGCCCUUAUCGACAAGGGGGUUUACGACCUCGAUGUUGGAUCAGGACAUCCUAAUGGUGCAGCCGCUAUUAAGGGUUCGUUUGUUCAACGAUUAAAGUCCUACGUGAUCUGAGUUCA
RNAcentral lists this ribosomal RNA (602 nucleotides) under Halichoeres trimaculatus (threespot wrasse). Its description in RNAcentral is "partial 16S ribosomal RNA". It matches the Rfam family "Bacterial large subunit ribosomal RNA", at positions 1803 to 2613 of the family's 2925-position model. Lineage: Eukaryota; Metazoa; Chordata; Actinopteri; Labriformes; Labridae. The record is from RNAcentral.